This 397-nucleotide ribosomal RNA is filed under the name uncultured bacterium. RNAcentral describes it as "partial 16S ribosomal RNA". It matches the Rfam family "Bacterial small subunit ribosomal RNA", at positions 523 to 918 of the family's 1533-position model. The record is from RNAcentral.
AUACGUAGGGGGCGAGCGUUGUCCGGAAUGAUUGGGCGUAAAGGGCGCGUAGGCGGCGCGGUAAGUCUGGAGUGAAAGUCCUGCUUUCAAGGUGGGAAUUGCUUUGGAUACUGCCGCGCUUGAGUGCAGGAGAGGUUAUCGGAAUUCCCGGUGUAGCGGUGAAAUGCGUAGAGAUCGGGAGGAACACCAGUGGCGAAGGCGGGUAACUGGACUGCAACGGACGCUGAGGCGCGAAAGUGUGGGGAGCAAACAGGAUUAGAUACCCUGGUAGUCCGCACUGUAAACGAUGAAUGCUAGGUGUAAGAGGUAUCGACCCCUUUUGUGCCGUAGUUAACACAAUAAGCAUUCCGCCUGGGGAGUACGGCCGCAAGGUUGCAACUCAAAUGAAUUGACGGGG